Molecule: transfer RNA, 71 nt
Filed under: Anolis cymbops (Cope's Veracruz anole)
Lineage: Eukaryota; Metazoa; Chordata; Lepidosauria; Squamata; Anolidae
Description: tRNA-Tyr
Source: RNAcentral
UGAUAAAGAAAGGAAUUAAACCAAUGUGAGUGGGACUACAGCCCACCGCUUACCGCUCAGCCACUUUACCU